CUUUUCAUUACGCCAUUUCUGAGUGACUUUGUUUCUCCUUCAUAAAUGUUUAGAUAUUGGAUAUGAAAGGACUCUGUAAGAGCUUCUGAGAAAAGAUUUAUACAGAAGGAUUGAGAGACUAUGUGCAAAUGACUGAAUCCAGACACAUAGGUAACUAGAAAAACAGCAACAAACUACUUUGAAUCCUCUGAUCACCAGUAUGGACCGACUCCGUACAAUACAGAGGAUAAGGAUCUCCUGAUAACGUAAGGAACCAAUGAUAUCUGCAUCAAACUCUGCAGAGGGAAGAUGUAGCUGGAAGAUGUCAUGGCAGCCAGGAACAAAUGGAGACAAAAAGUCAAGACCAGAUGUCUCAGUGCUAGUGUCCAGCUACCUGGAAGGCCUCAAAUCUACCGUCACUUAUAGUGAGUCAAGUCUAUGUCUGCUGUCGUUACCUACAGUCCAGUAAGGCCUAAAGUGAAUGAUCUAAAGUCCAUUACAAGUAUAAUUGGCCCCAGCAAGCUGUGAGGUCCUUCUGUUUUCCUGGCCACCUCUCUGGGAUUAUGACCGAGCUGUAGAGACUAUAACAACUGUCUGACUUCAGUAAA
This is a long non-coding RNA of Hyla sarda, 587 nucleotides long. RefSeq lists it as uncharacterized. The record is from RefSeq and is a predicted model, not a curated record. Lineage: Eukaryota; Metazoa; Chordata; Amphibia; Anura; Hylidae. The transcript is spliced from 4 exons.